CCUACGGGGGGCUGCAGUGAGGAAUAUUGGUCAAUGGGCGCAAGCCUGAACCAGCCAUCCCGCGUGAAGGAUGAAGGCCCUAUGGGUCGUAAACUUCUUUUAUACACCAAGAAAAAUUCCGACGUGUCGGGACUCGACGGUAGUGUAUGAAUAAGCAUCGGCUAACUCCGUGCCAGCAGCCGCGGUAAUACGGAGGAUGCAAGCGUUAUCCGGAUUCAUUGGGUUUAAAGGGUGCGUAGGCGGCUUUUUAAGUCAGUGGUGAAAUCUUGCCGCUUAACGGUAAAAUUGCCAUUGAUACUGAAAAGCUUGAGUACAUUUGAGGUAAGCGGAAUGUGUAGUGUAGCGGUGAAAUGCUUAGAUAUUACACAGAACACCAAUUGCGAAGGCAGCUUACUAAACUGUUACUGACGCUGAUGCACGAAAGCGUGGGGAGCGAACAGGCUUAGAUACCCCGGUAGUC
Molecule: ribosomal RNA, 460 nt
Filed under: uncultured Bacteroidota bacterium
Lineage: Bacteria; Pseudomonadati; Bacteroidota
Description: bacterial SSU rRNA
Rfam family: Bacterial small subunit ribosomal RNA
Source: RNAcentral